CUGUCGUCAGCUCGUGUCGUGAGAUGUUCGGUUAAGUCCGGCAACGAGCGCAACCCACAUCCCUUAGUUGCCAGCAGUUCGGCUGGGCACUCUAUGGAAACUGCCCGUGAUAAGCGGGAGGAAGGUGUGGAUGACGUCAAGUCCUCAUGGCCCUUACGGGUUGGGCUACACACGUGCUACAAUGGUAGUGACAAUGGGUUAAUCCCAAAAAGCUAUCUCAGUUCGGAUUGUCGUCUGCAACUCGACGGCAUGAAGUCGGAAUCGCUAGUAAUCGCGUAACAGCAUGACGCGGUGAAUACGUUCCCGGGCCUUGUACACACCGCCCGUCACACCAUGGGAGUUGGUUCUACCCGACGGCCGUGCGCUAACCUUUUGGAGGCAGCGGACCACGGUAGGAUCAGCGACUGGGGUGAAGUCGUAACAAGGUAGCC
This 431-nucleotide ribosomal RNA is filed under the name uncultured bacterium. RNAcentral's name for it is "bacterial SSU rRNA". It matches the Rfam family "Bacterial small subunit ribosomal RNA", at positions 1049 to 1501 of the family's 1533-position model. The record is from RNAcentral.